UGAAUAUUGAUCCUGUCCUGUCCUAUGGUCUGAAUAUUGAUCCUGUCCUGUCCUAUCGUCUGAAUAUUGAUCCUGUCCUGUCCUAUGGUCUGAAUAUUGAUCCUGUCCUGUCGUAUGGUCUGAAUAUUGAUCUCGUCCUGUCCUAUGGUCUGAAUAUUGAUCUCGUCAUGUCCUAUGGUCUGAAUAUUGAUGUGUGUGUCUCUGACCAUCUCAGUAUUGUUUUUUUAAAGGCUUUCUCCUCCUCCUAAAAAUGUGUCUGUCCCCACUCACUCUGGCAUCAUUAACUCGACAACUGCUAGCACAUUAACCAAAGCUUCAAGUUUUAUUAUGGUGGUUCCAAGUUCUAUUAUGGUGGUUCCAAGUUCUAUUUAGGUGGUUCCAAGUUCUAUUGUGAUGGUUCCAAGUACUAUUGUGGGGGUUCCAAGUUCUUUGGUGGGGGUUCCAAGUUCUUUUGUGAUGGUUCCAAGUUCUAUUAUGGUGGUUCCAAGUUCUAUUGUGAUGGUUCCAGGUUCUAUUAUGGUGGUUCCAAGUUAUAUUGUGGUGGUUCCAAGUUCUAUUGUUAUGGUUCCAAGUUUUAUUGUGGUGGUUCCAAGUUCUAUUGUGAUGGUUCCAAGUUCUAUUAUGGUGGUUCCAAGGUCUAUGUUGGUGGUUCAGAGUUCGAUUGUGGUAGUUCCAAGUUCUAUUAUGGUGGUUCCAAGUUCUCUCAUUGUGGUUCCAUGUUAUUUUAUGGUGGUUCCAAGUUCUAUUAUGGUGGUUCCAAGUUCUAUUGUGAUAGUUCCAAGUUCUACUGUGGUGGUUCCAAGUUCUAUUGUGAUGGUUCCAAGUUUUAUUGUGGUGGUUCCAAGUUCUAUUGUGAUGGUUCCAAGUUUUAUUGUGGUGGUUCCAAGUACUAUUGUGAUGGUUCCAAGUUCUAUUGUGGUGGUUCCAAGUUCUAUUAGGGUGGUUCCAAGUUUUAUCGUGGGGGUUACAAGUUCUAUUGAGAUGGUUCUACAUUCUAUUGUGGUUGUUCCAAGUUCGAUUGUGGUGGUUCCAAGUUCUAUUGUGGUGGUUCUAGGUUGUUGG
This 1062-nucleotide long non-coding RNA is filed under the name Oncorhynchus mykiss (rainbow trout). RNAcentral's name for it is "lncRNA (ENSOMYG00000049690.1)". The record is from RNAcentral. Lineage: Eukaryota; Metazoa; Chordata; Actinopteri; Salmoniformes; Salmonidae.